CCCAACUAUCCCUAUUAAUCAUUACGGUGAUCCUAGAAACCAACAAAAUAGAACCAUGCCGUCCUAUUUUAUUAUUCCAUGCUAAUCUAUUCAAGCACUAGCCCGCUUUAAGCACUCUAAUUUUUUCAAGGUAAUAGAUCUGCUUCCCCAACGCACUAAAUUAAUAGCAUGCUGGUUAUUCAGAAGGUAAGAAUCCAUCAAAUCAGUACGGACAGUUAAGCCCGACCAACUGACAAAUCCCGAAAUUCAAC
Molecule: ribosomal RNA, 251 nt
Filed under: uncultured Acaulospora
Lineage: Eukaryota; Fungi; Glomeromycota; Glomeromycetes; Diversisporales; Acaulosporaceae
Description: partial 18S ribosomal RNA
Source: RNAcentral